This is a long non-coding RNA of Phragmites australis (common reed), 3953 nucleotides long. RefSeq lists it as uncharacterized. The transcript has 5 exons. Lineage: Eukaryota; Viridiplantae; Streptophyta; Magnoliopsida; Poales; Poaceae. The record is from RefSeq and is a predicted model, not a curated record.
UACAAGUCCAGAUCCAGAACCAACGCAGCUGCCAAAAACAAGUUCCGGGAAACUACAUGCCAGCGACUCUGCAACGCUCUUCAUCCCAGCAGCCGUCGGCGUGUUCGGAGCAAGUCUCAAGCAGCUGUGCGCGUGUUGCGAUAUCAGAUAGCUCGGUCUCCAUGGAUGGAGCUUGCCCUUCAGCUUCAGAUUUGCAGAGGAUGAACGGAGGAGGGCGAAACCAAAGUUUGUCGACCAUGAAACCGGCGUCCCUGUGACCCAAAGAGCUCCGCCGGCGGCGUGGUCGAUCGCGGAUAGCUCGAACCCACUCAGGCAGCAGCUGAUGCCGGCGGCGACGCGAGGCCUGCUUCUGUUCAUCGGCAUCUCCAAGCAGCUAACGCAGCCGCCGGAGCAUCAGCCUCCGCCCAAUCACAGGUGAGACAACGAGAGCUUCCUUUCGAGCGGAAUCGCGAAGGGAAAGAAGAGAGAAUCCCGUCCUAAAGAGAAUGAACCUAUGAAUCAUGUCGUGAAGGAAACCGUAAAGGGAAAUCAUUGAAACGCUGAAAGGAACAAAAAUUCCUUCACAACGAGAUUUUAGUCCCCGAUGGAAAGCCGUGGGGUAGCCUAAAGAAAAAAGGAACGUACCUGUACCAAUCUAUCCACGGAUGUGAGAAUAUUCUGUUCUGGCGUAUCAUCGCCACGACCAGAAAACAAGAAAACAUUCAGAUGUUGCCCAUUAAUUGACAAGUACAGUAUCCUAUUAAUGGUGAAGUUGGUGUAUAUAUAAGUGGGGUGGUACUACUAUACAUGUAUAUAUACUACCAUGGAUCGAGCAACUAAAUUUUCUGUUGACAUCAACAGUCAAGUAAUUAAGGAAGUUAAAACAACACGAAGAACAGAUCGAACAUGGCAGUGACGAAGAACAGUUGCAUGUAAGGGCCAACACGCUGGCCUAAUUUCCAUGUGAUUUUGUGGAAUAGCUGCAGGCCACCAAUUAGUACAGACUGGCUUUUCUAUCUAGUACAAGUUGUCGGAUUUUUUUUUCUCAAGUUUUUUUUUCUAUUGUGGGGUUUCUCAAAGGGCAAGUCAACUUGAUAUACUUGCACUUGAAAUUCUUUUGCGUGCGGAUCUUGUCGUUGACGAGGGUAGUACGGGCGGACAAUCAACCUGACAAGGAAAUACUUGUGUUCUUCUGUGUACCGACUACGUCCUAUAAGUGCACGACCGAGCUUUCCAUCUCGCCAGCCAUAUUUCUUAGCUUAUUGGGUCGCAGUUUCCCUCUUUGAUGCAAAUAAGAUUCAAACAAAACAGAUUUUUUAAUUAAAAACAUACUUUUCGUUCAUGGCCGGAAUAAACGAAUUUCGCGAAAUUUUCACCGAAAUUAAAAUCCCUGCGGAGAUCACUGUGUAGAAUGGAGAGGGAUACUUUACAGCAAACAUAUAAGAGAUCGAUCAUGUAUUCAUGUCCCUUAUUGUUACAAGGAAAUAAAAUCCAUCAACGAGAUAGCACACGUUACACAUACACGUCUUACACUCGUUACAUUAUUCGAGUAACAAACGUGUACUAUUGCUUCGUAGCUCAUGCUGCGAUCUGAUAGAAGAGAGCGAGCGCGGCGAGCACGAGCGUGCCAAGACCGCAGCACGCCAGCACCGUCGCCGCGAACGCCGUGCUCGCCUUCGUCUUCUCGGCCUGCGCCGUCCCGAACGUGAGCACCCCCAAGCUCACCGAGGCGACGAAUGCUGAUGCCAGGAGGAGCGUGCACGCCUGCAGCUGCUCUUUGCCUACCGCGCCGCCAAGCAGCCCGCCGAAGAUGGCUAGAAUGGCGCCGAACGAUACCGAGGCAACCGCCACCGCUAUCACGUACAUCGUGCCAUGCGCGGCCUUUCCGUCCUCCGUCUCCGUGCACCCACCGUCCUCGCCUGCUGCGGUGAAGAACUCGACGACCAGCCAUGCGGAAGCCCCGGCGACGACUGGGAACACGGCGGCUACUAGUAGCCCGUGCAAGAUAGUUUCGGCGAUCAUGAGGAUAGCCGACACAUGAACGGCAAUCAUGACGAUGUUUGCUGCAGAGAGUAUUGCCCUCUGCCAUGUUCCCGACCGCCGGCAAUCGCCAUUGCCGCAGAGCAUCCUGCACAGCAGCAAUGCCAAGAUUCCGGCGACGCCUGCGCCGAGCAAGAGGUAGACGGGGACUUCGACUUGCGAAUAGGCUGCGCCUAGGCUAGGUGCCUUGUGGUAGAUGGCAAAGACAACACCAAUGAAUCCAGAGAAGGACGUCGAGACCAGCGACAAGAUGAGCUGGGUUGCGCGCUUUACCUCCUUCUUGCGAGCUUUGCUCUGCGCUGAACUGAUCUCCCCGUGAUCAGUAUCAGCGCAAUAGAGGAAGUGAAAUCCGGCGAUAAGGAGUGACGGGAGCAACGCAAGAGGCAGGAAGUAGUAGGCCUUGCCCUUGGGUAGGAGGGAAUAGGUGAUCGAUAUGCAUGUCAAGAAGAGCGAAGCCGCGCCUAUGGCGAAGAGGAUCUUAGAAGCCCUGGACAGGUUCUUGGGGAUGAGCCGUGCUGAUUUAAUGGCCAUCAGUUUCAAGGUGUGGAACAAGAGGCUGAUGGCAGAUAGGAAGGCAGUGAAAGCGAAGAAUGCCGAGAGCUUCAGAGUCAGAUCUAUCUUAGCAGCGGAUCCAUGGAGGCAGAGUAUGUCGAUCAGUGGGAUCAUGGAGAUUGUGAUGAGGAUUACUGACACCUUGAGGUCAAAUUUCAGUUUUAUAUUUCUCCCUUUGCUCACGGUCGCGGUGCUACUCGCGCAAUUCUGCAGUACAUGACAUAAAAUUAAGGACAUGUAAUAAUAAGUAGUUAGAUGUAGGUUCUUUAAUUAAUUAAACUUGAUUGAUACAUGUAGUGAUUCAUAUUUGCACUAAUAUUUUUCAUGCCGAUAUGUAGUAGGAAUCUAUGUUGAGUAAUGUAUAGAACGUGCAUGAGAAAUAAUACACACGUGCAUGCAUCAUACUUGAUGAAAAAGGCCUUUGAGGAAAUAGAGGUAGAAAUUUUACGGUGAAGUGUGUUAGUGCAUAUAUAAAGAGUACUAGCUAGAACCUGCACGCGCAAAAGGACCAGACUUUAUCUUCACAAAGUAGCUAGCAAACGGAAACACUUAAAGAAUCAAGGAUGAUGCAGAGUUGAAGUUACAAAUAUGGUUAUUUGGGAAGUGCAUGACUUCGUGGUUGUCGAAUGGGAUGAGCCGAUGAGAUACCUUCAACUUUGUACUGAAAAAAUAUUGGGAAAAUUAAGAAUUUUUAUUGUUACCUCAACUGGCAGAUUUUGUUGGAAAAUCCCCAUUUCUAUACCACCGACUGGCACAAGAGCAUUUCCACCUUCUAUGGCGUUGUCCUGUGCAUGACGGCAAGGGGAUAAAUUAAUCAAAGAAAGGUGAAACCAAUUUUUGGUGAGAAUUGGUGCAGUGGAGAAUAAGGGAAUUCUUUUCGUACUGCAGCUAGGAGGAGCUGAUGUGCUGGACGCAACCCCUUCUCUUCAUCUCUAUUGUCCACCAACUGAUCUGGAGGAGGGAGAUGAGGAAGAGGACCCUCCUUCUCCGCUGCGCCCACCACGUCCUUCAUCUGCACAUCUACCAAGCAAUGGAAAUAAGAAAGCCAUCGAUCGUUGGAGGAAAGAGAAGAGUUACAAACGAGUGACGAGGUAGCUAGCCUGCAUAUCUCUUCCUUGCUUUGGCCUUCUUCUCAGCGAGCUUUCUCUCCCAUGGAAAAGAAGCUGAUAAUCAAGAACCCAUCAUCGAUCCGAGGCUAGCUAGUUAGCUGCUCAUCACGUAUUAAUUGGAGAGAGGCAGAGAGGGAGGAGUGUAAUGUAAUGACACAGGAGAAGCUUUCGUGUUUGUGUAGUAGGCUAGUUCCACUCCACUCCGCACUUCAGAGUUCAGAGGUCCUUAGCCUCCAAGUAAUGAUUUUGAAGUCAAAAUAGGAGGCUGCUAUA